Molecule: non-coding RNA, 75 nt
Organism: Potamilus streckersoni
Lineage: Eukaryota; Metazoa; Mollusca; Bivalvia; Unionida; Unionidae
Source: the annotation of a GenBank genome assembly
AGCUCCAGUGGCCUAGUGGUUAGAGCAUCCACCUUUGGAUGCGGGAGGUCGCGAGUUCAAACCCUGGCUGAGUCG